GCAGUGCCGAGGAGUCCCACAAUAGGACGAAACGGCCGUCCAGUGC
RNAcentral lists this non-coding RNA (46 nucleotides) under Schistosoma mattheei. The record is from RNAcentral. Lineage: Eukaryota; Metazoa; Platyhelminthes; Trematoda; Strigeidida; Schistosomatidae.